This 82-nucleotide transfer RNA is filed under the name Planctomycetia bacterium. Its description in RNAcentral is "tRNA-Leu". It matches the Rfam family "tRNA". Rfam says of the family: Transfer RNA (tRNA) molecules are approximately 80 nucleotides in length. Their secondary structure includes four short double-helical elements and three loops (D, anti-codon, and T loops). Further hydrogen bonds mediate the characteristic L-shaped molecular structure. tRNAs have two regions of fundamental functional importance: the anti-codon, which is responsible for specific mRNA codon recognition, and the 3' end, to which the tRNAs corresponding amino acid is attached (by aminoacyl-tRNA synthetases). tRNAs cope with the degeneracy of the genetic code in two manners: having more than one tRNA (with a specific anti-codon) for a particular amino acid; and 'wobble' base-pairing, i.e. permitting non-standard base-pairing at the 3rd anti-codon position. Lineage: Bacteria; Pseudomonadati; Planctomycetota; Planctomycetia. The record is from RNAcentral.
GCGGGGAUGGCGGAACAGGCAGACGCGCCGGAUUUAGGAUCCGGUCCCGUAAGGGGUGGGGGUUCGACUCCCCUUCUCCGCA